GGACUUCGGCGGUGGCGGCGGGGUCUCCUCUCCCUUCGUUCGGAGGUUGCUGGCGCAGACGGGUGACCUCGAGCGAUGACGGCGUGCUGACAAGGCGCUUCGACACGGCAGCGAGUUGCGGGUGAGGUGCGCGGCUAUGCUGGUCCAUGUUGGCUGCCUGGUGGGUUGCUUGUUCUGUGGGCCUGUGGCAGCCUGACUGCUCGAUGUGGAUAGGCCAUAUCCAGCACCGGUGUUGCGGGUAGCACUGGACAUUGUUGGUCCUUCUAUUCUUUGAGUCCCAAAAAUAUCGAUCUACUCUAUGCCGGCUUCCUCGAUUUGGAUGC
This 323-nucleotide long non-coding RNA is filed under the name Hordeum vulgare. Its description in RNAcentral is "long non-coding RNA (HVUL_LNC007991)". The record is from RNAcentral. Lineage: Eukaryota; Viridiplantae; Streptophyta; Magnoliopsida; Poales; Poaceae.